UGGAGAGUUUGAUCCUGGCUCAGGACGAACGCUGGCGGCGUGCCUAAUACAUGCAAGUCGRGCGGGGCYYGAGGRGRGCUUGCCCUUYKMGAGCCCAGCGGCGGACGGGUGAGUAACACGUGGGUAACCUGCCCGUAAGACCGGGAUAACUCCGGGAAACCGGGGCUAAUACCGGAUAACACCGGGGGCCGCAUGGCUUCCGGUUGAAAGGCGGCCUUUGGCUGCCACUUACGGAUGGGCCCGCGGCGCAUUAGCUAGUUGGCGGGGUAACGGCCCACCAAGGCGACGAUGCGUAGCCGGCCUGAGAGGGUGGACGGCCACACUGGGACUGAGACACGGCCCAGACUCCUACGGGAGGCAGCAGUAGGGAAUCUUCCGCAAUGGGCGAAAGCCUGACGGAGCGACGCCGCGUGAGCGAGGAAGGCCUUCGGGUCGUAAAGCUCUGUUGUCAGGGAAGAAGGCGYGCCGUUCGAAUAGGGCGGCGCGGUGACGGUACCUGACGAGGAAGCCCCGGCUAACUACGUGCCAGCAGCCGCGGUA
Molecule: ribosomal RNA, 540 nt
Filed under: Bacillus sp. CCR1
Lineage: Bacteria; Bacillati; Bacillota; Bacilli; Caryophanales; Bacillaceae
Description: bacterial SSU rRNA
Rfam family: Bacterial small subunit ribosomal RNA
Source: RNAcentral